This 406-nucleotide ribosomal RNA is filed under the name Latilactobacillus sakei. RNAcentral's name for it is "bacterial SSU rRNA". It matches the Rfam family "Bacterial small subunit ribosomal RNA", at positions 93 to 485 of the family's 1533-position model. The record is from RNAcentral. Lineage: Bacteria; Bacillati; Bacillota; Bacilli; Lactobacillales; Lactobacillaceae.
GAGUGGCGGACGGGUGAGUAACACGUGGGUAACCUGCCCUAAAGUGGGGGAUAACAUUUGGAAACAGAUGCUAAUACCGCAUAAAACCUAACACCGCAUGGUGUAGGGUUGAAAGAUGGUUUCGGCUAUCACUUUAGGAUGGACCCGCGGUGCAUUAGUUAGUUGGUGAGGUAAAGGCUCACCAAGACCGUGAUGCAUAGCCGACCUGAGAGGGUAAUCGGCCACACUGGGACUGAGACACGGCCCAGACUCCUACGGGAGGCAGCAGUAGGGAAUCUUCCACAAUGGACGAAAGUCUGAUGGAGCAACGCCGCGUGAGUGAAGAAGGUUUUCGGAUCGUAAAACUCUGUUGUUGGAGAAGAAUGUAUCUGAUAGUAACUGAUCAGGUAGUGACGGUAUCCAACCA